Non-coding RNA from Saimiri boliviensis boliviensis (Bolivian squirrel monkey), 1883 nucleotides. The record is from RefSeq and is a predicted model, not a curated record. NCBI's taxonomy places the organism in Eukaryota, Metazoa, Chordata, Mammalia, Primates, Cebidae.
GAAGACUUAAGAAAAACUUAGUGACUACUAGAUUAUCCUUAGGACUCUGCAUUAACUCUAUAAUGUUCUUGGUAUUAAAAAAAAAAAAGCAUAUUUGUCACAGAAAUUUAGUUAACAUCUUACAACUGAACAUGUAUGUAUGUUGCUUAGAUAAAUGUAAUCACUGUAAACAUCUAUAUGAUCUGGGAUUUUGUUUUUAUUUUGAAAUGGGAGCUUUUUUGUUUACAAGUUCAUUAAAAACUAAAAACUGUUUCUGUAAGGAAAUGAGAUUUUUUUUUAAACAACAAAAAUGCCUUGCUGACUCACUAUAAAAUAAAAAUCUCCCCAAUUUUUUGAUAGACUACUUUAAGCCAUUUGUUACAUGGUAUUCCUUUGCAAGUCAUUCUAGGUUUCGUGUUAACUUUUCCUUUAAAAAAAAAAAAAAUCUAUUUCUUUUGUCUGAAGGGGAAAGGCAUUCUUUCAUUUUUGUUUUUUUAUGACUUGCAGGCACAGUAUCUAGUACUGCCACUGCCAGAACUUGGUAUUGUAACUGCUGCCCGCUGACUAGCAGCUAGACUGAUUCUGAAUAAAGAUGAAAGCAUUAAAGGGUUUUCCUAUAAAACAUUUUUCUUUAAAAUACUUGUGAAAUGGCUAUAAGCAGUUGACUUUCACCCUUGGAGAGCAUCACACUGUGUGAGGUUCAGUGAUCGUUGACCCUCCCCAACCCCUCCUGCUUCUUUAUCUGUCUUUAUCUCUGUGCGUGCGCUUCCUCUCAAUUUUCUUUGCACGCUUAUUUCUUUUUCUCUGACCCAAGAAAAAGGAAAACUUACUGAUGAUAAUUUUAAAGUAGUGUAAUUUAUUCAUUUAUAGCAUGUCAGGAUAAAUUAAAAGAACAUUUGUCUGGAAAUGCUGCCAGGAGCCUAUUGUGUAAAUGUAGGUAUUUUGUAAAAUAACAUUGAAAUUGUAAAUUGACACGUGUUUGGUCAGAUUGUGUCAAGUUUAAUUUGUUUUGUUUUCUUUUUUUUUUAAUUUGAAAACUACUUUAGCAAUAAUUAAUUCCAUGAUUAUCACAUUCUGCCAUUAAGGGAGAUAGUACCGUAAUACUGAAGAAAUCUUGUUAAGUCUGAACUUUUGGGGUAGGCAGCUUUUUUGUUUCUUUUCUAUCCACCCUUGUCGGUUGAGGUAUUUGUUUCUUGACUAAUAAACCCUUUGAUACUUUUAGCCAGAAAUUGGUCUCAUAAAGCUAUUUUUGAGUAUAGUUUGUGUAAAAUAAAACUGUUUAGCUUUGGUAAUAACUUUUCCAAGCUGAACUCCCUCUAGCAAGAUAUUUUUCAGUGCUUUUAUUUACUAUGCACUUAGACUAUGCACUUUUUCUGAAAUAUUUUUGUAACACUUUUUUGUAUUUUUGCCAUUUGAAAAGGUUGUGGUGUAGUUGGUCUGUAAUUAAGUUGCAGAUUUAAAACUGCUGUUAGCUUUGUAAAUCAAAAUAUAGGUGUUUUUUGUCCUGGUAUAUCAUCAUUCCAUCUGCAGCUGGAGCUGGAAUCCCAUUGAUCUUCUAGCUACCAUUCAUUUUCUUCACAGUUCACAAAAGAAGAAUGUGAAAUUCAGUGAAUGCUGUUACUAAUCCUGUCGCGAGAUGAAUCUCAUUUCACCAAAAUUAAAUUAUGUUUUUCCGCUAAAAUGAUGAUACAAGUUGAAGACACAUCACUCUGAAAUUGGAAGACCUCACCACUUAAGGCUCCACAGUGGCUUACUCAGCUGAACUCUAGGUUACUACUCUUUACUUUGUUCACCCAUUGGGGGGUGCAGUUUUUUUAAAAUGUUGGGAGAUGGCCAUUCUAACUACUGUUGAAUGUCUCUGUUUUGGGAAGGUAUAACAAGAAAUAAAAAAGAAUAUAUAUGAA